Long non-coding RNA from Macaca fascicularis (crab-eating macaque), 1769 nucleotides. NCBI's taxonomy places the organism in Eukaryota, Metazoa, Chordata, Mammalia, Primates, Cercopithecidae. The record is from Ensembl.
UUAGAGGAUAGAUGGCUUUUAUUCCUAUGAAGUUAUCUGGAAAUCAUCUUCUUAACUAUCUUUUUUUCCCUCAAAGGGGCCAUAGUUUGAAGGAUUUGUGAUGAGACUUUUGGUCUGUGAAGCCCAAGACACAAUCUCCAACAUGCACAGGAAAUCCAGUAUCAAAUUUCUAACAGGUCUUCAGAGACAGGCCCAGGACUGGCUUGAGCGUGUCAGAGAGGUGUGCGCUGUCUACUUCCCAUCAUACAUGGCCACACAUGCCUGUGGCUGUGAGAAAUACUGGUGGUGACAAAGACAAUGAGAUGGCAGAGAAAAAGAUCAGUGGGGUUUGCGAAGGUGAUUAGGAUGUCGUCUUAGGUAUAAUUAAGGACUUAAUAAGGUUGAAGGAAAGAGAGGACAUUACAAAUACCAAGGCCCCUGAGAGAUGUGCCUGGCAACCCAGAAAGGGACAUAUGGGGGAAAACGCCUUAGUGUAACCGGGUCAGAAUUUUCAUUCUGGGCAGAACUGGAAUUUGAAUAAUAAUACUGAGUCAUAUACAGCAUACAGCUAUGACAUUUCAUUUAUUUCUCCAUAUAAUGCAAUAAAGUAGAUGGAUUAACCCUUGACUUUUACAGACGGAGCGGAGGAGAAUGAAGAGGCGUCAGUUUGGGCAUCAGGCUGGAUCUUCACACUCGGACCUCACUCUGCUCUAUCCUGCCCAGUGUUGCUUCAAGGCAAAAAGAUUUGACACCAGUUUCAGUUUAGAUCCUGCCUCUCUACCUGGGUGUGACCCGGGUCCAUCUCCAGCUCGGCCUCUGCUUUCUCUUCAUAAACUUUUGGUGUUAGUCUUCGGAUGAUCUCUAAAACAUGGCCCAGGUGUUCCUUGCCAGUAGAGUGUAGUCAGAUUUGGAGGGACUGGACACUCAGGGUGAACAAGAGGAAGGCCUCAGGAGGCAGUAAAAGCUGACAAGAGGAGAUAAAAUGAAGCGCCUAGGGAUGCAUAUUGGACUAGCGGGCGAAAGGCCAUGACUCCUUAGUUUGCAGAUAGUGAGUGGGAAAGAACUGGGGCCGAGAUUGGGUAAGUUUCCCAGCGCAAUUAAAAAAAAAGAAGAAGAAGAAGAAGAAGAACUAGAAGAAUUACCCGGGUCCGGCCUCUUUCGCGUAGCCUGGGGCUGAGUCGCAGGCUGAGAAAUCUGGUCGGGCCAGUAGGGGGCUCCACCAAGCGCAGUCUCAGAAUGCCCAAGAGCCCCACCGUCGCCCGGGGUCUUCUAGAGGAGUGGGUAGUGGUGGGCGCUGAAGAGCUGUAAAAGACUAGCAGCCCGCGUCCGCGUCCGUCCUCCCCGGGUCCCCAGUCCGCAGGCGGCCGCCGCCUCGGCCCCGCCCUCCCACCUCCAUUCCCGGCCCUGCGGGCCCGAACGGUCCCUCUCGCAACCGAUCCUAUGGCGGGGGCGCGGAGGAUGCGAAUUCCUAGAAGCCUUAAGAGGCUGCCCAGCGUUGGAAGUUCGUAUCCCCGAGAAUGCUGGAGGUUCCAGCUCACACACCCCCUCCGAGCACAGAGUCAGCUGGGGGGUGCUGGGAGGGAGAACGCCCCGCUCCUCAUCCCCCAUCCUUGUGCACCCUGGAGCCCAGCUCCAUACGUUCGGCCACCCCAGGCGGACUUGGAGGUGGUCGGGUAGCGGGUGGUGGCGGGAGGGGACCGGGUAACUGCAGGCCGGAGAGGAGGUCGCUGGGCCGGGCCGGAGGCGCACAGGGGCUGCGUGGCUACCUCUGCGGCACCCGCCCCACCUCC